GAAUCUUCCGCAAUGGGCGAAAGCCUGACGGAGCAAGACCGCGUGGGGGAGGAAGGUUUUUGGAUCGUAAACCCCUUUUGUCAGGGAAGAAGUUCUGACGGUACCUGACGAAUAAGCCUCGGCUAACUCCGUGCCAGCAGCCGCGGUAAUACGGAGGAGGCAAGCGUUAUCCGGAAUGAUUGGGCGUAAAGCGUCUGUAGGUGGCGAACUAAGUCUGCUGUUAAAGAUCACAGCUCAACUGUGGAAAGGCAGUGGAAACUGGUUAGCUAGAGGCUGGUAGGGGUAAAGGGAAUUCCCGGUGUAGCGGUGAAAUGCGUAGAUAUCGGGAAGAACACCGGUGGCGAAAGCGCUUUACUGGGCCA
This 362-nucleotide ribosomal RNA is filed under the name uncultured Chroococcales cyanobacterium. Its description in RNAcentral is "bacterial SSU rRNA". It matches the Rfam family "Bacterial small subunit ribosomal RNA", at positions 359 to 736 of the family's 1533-position model. Lineage: Bacteria; Bacillati; Cyanobacteriota; Cyanophyceae; Chroococcales. The record is from RNAcentral.